This 519-nucleotide long non-coding RNA is filed under the name Pan troglodytes (chimpanzee). Its description in RNAcentral is "long non-coding RNA NONPTRT009795". The record is from RNAcentral. Lineage: Eukaryota; Metazoa; Chordata; Mammalia; Primates; Hominidae.
UCUGAGGCCCCAGGGUGGUUGAAAGUUCAGGAAGGCUGGGAUGGGGACGUUAGCUGCAGGCCACCGCACUGAAGAGGCUGAUUUAGGCCCCGGUGGUCCCCCCGAGUCACGGCCACCCUCCUGAUGAGGUGCAGCAGGCAUGAACCCUUGGGCCCACCAUCCUUUCAGGGGGCUGGGGAAAUAUUUUACCUUUAAAACAGAAGAAAAUGAACUUUUACCUGGAAGGGUCUCUGAAAAUCAGGAGGAAACUUCAUGACACAUAGAGAAAAGUCCAGAGUUUAAAUCUUUGCUCCUGUGUGAUCUUGGGCAACUUUCUAAACCUCUCUGAGGCCACGGAUACCAGCUCUUUGCCAGGUUAAAUGAGAUAUUACAUGUCAGCUACAUACCUGGAACGUAGUUAGAACUCCUUUUUUUUUUUUCUUUUUUUUGAGAUGGAGUCUCGCUCUGUUGCCCAGGCUGGAGUAUAGUGGCACAAUCUCCACUCACUGCAACCUCCGCCUCCAGGGUGCAAGUGAUUCU